GGCGAACGGGUGAGUAAUGCUUUGGAAUCUGCCCAGUAGUGGGGAAUAACCAGCCGAAAGGUUGGCUAAUACCGCAUACGACCCAUGGGUGAAAGCGGGGGAUCGCAAGACCUCGCGCUAUUGGAUGAGCCAAAGUCGGAUUAGCUAGUUGGUGAGGUAACGGCUCACCAAGGCGACAAUCCGUAGCUGGUCUGAGAGGACGACCAGCCACACUGGGACUGAGACACGGCCCAGACUCCUACGGGAGGCAGCAGUGGGGAAUAUUGGACAAUGGGGGCAACCCUGAUCCAGCGACGCCGCGUGUGUGAAGAAGGCCUGCGGGUUGUAAAGCACUUUUAGUGGGGAGAAAAAGCUACGGGCUAAUACCCUGUGGUCUUGAUUUAACCCAAAGAAAAAGCACCGGCUAACUCUGUGCCAGCAGCCGCGGUAAUACAGAGGGUGCAAGCGUUAAUCGGAAUUAUUGGGCGUAAAGCGUGCGUAGACGGUUAUUUAAGUCGGGUGUGAAAUCCCCGGGCUCAACCUGGGAAUUGCAUUCGAUACUGGAUAGCUAGGGUGCGGAAGAGGGAAGCGGAAUUUC
This 577-nucleotide ribosomal RNA is filed under the name uncultured Pseudomonadota bacterium. Its description in RNAcentral is "bacterial SSU rRNA". It matches the Rfam family "Bacterial small subunit ribosomal RNA", at positions 97 to 670 of the family's 1533-position model. Lineage: Bacteria; Pseudomonadati; Pseudomonadota. The record is from RNAcentral.